RNAcentral lists this ribosomal RNA (256 nucleotides) under uncultured bacterium. RNAcentral describes it as "partial 16S ribosomal RNA". It matches the Rfam family "Bacterial small subunit ribosomal RNA", at positions 524 to 778 of the family's 1533-position model. The record is from RNAcentral.
UACGAAGGGGGCGAGCGUUGUUCGGAAUACUGGGCGUAAAGCGUGCGCAGGCGGUUUUGUAAGUCUGUCGUGAAAUCCCCGGGCUCAACCUGGGAAUUGCGAUGGAGACUGCAAGGCUAGAAUCUGGCAGAGGGGGGGUAGAAUUCCACGUGUAGCAGUGAAAUGCGUAGAGAUGUGGAGGAACACCGAUGGCGAAGGCAGCCCCCUGGGUCAAGAUUGACGCUCAUGCACGAAAGGCGUGGGGAGCAAACGAAGG